GAAAUGUAACUAUUAAAAGAAAUAUCAGAUCUGUCAAAUGUUAAAAGAUCAUUCCUGUAAUGAUUGUGACAUUCCACAAAAAAUAGUUUUGAUCAUCUGCACUGUUCUAAAUAAGCUUCUUAGUCUUGUAAUACCUACAGACAGAAACUAACGAGGUUUAUUUAAGACGGCUCACAGAUUAGACACACCAGCUAUCCCACCACACUUCAUAAACGAAAAUACUCGCUUGUAAAUAUUACUUACAAGUUGCAAAGUGAAAUUACAAACGCCCACGUUAACUUUGAAUUAUUUAGAACCGUUUGACAAUCGUGCUUAAGAAUUCGUUAUUGAAUGUCUGGGUUUCCAACUUGGUACUUAUUUAUGGACGGCGGAAAGUUGGCCUGUUUCUACAAUCGAGGCUGCCUUGUCUGUGUCUUUGGAGGCGAAUAAGGUUGAAUUCGAGCGGUCCUCCGAGCCGAGAUUGGUCCUUCAGUUUGACUGAAAUAUGUGUAAUUCCAAACGGCAAACGAAAAUCUAAUUGAAUUCAUUGGUUGCGUAAACUUUAAUACAAUUUCGUUGGAGAAUCCCGUAAGAAGUUCCGUAGUUUUAUAUGACUAAUCUUUUGAUUCAUCAUUUUCACACGAAAACAGCG
Molecule: long non-coding RNA, 631 nt
Organism: Trichoplusia ni (cabbage looper)
Lineage: Eukaryota; Metazoa; Arthropoda; Insecta; Lepidoptera; Noctuidae
Exons: 3
Source: RefSeq, a predicted model, not a curated record